ACUUUAGUAUUGACCCCAAUCCACGUGUGUUGAGGUGGAUUUGGGUGUAAAUUAGUUUAAGUUACACCCCAAUCCAUCUCAAUACAUGUGGAUUAGGAUCAAUACUAGA
Molecule: non-coding RNA, 109 nt
Organism: Zea mays
Lineage: Eukaryota; Viridiplantae; Streptophyta; Magnoliopsida; Poales; Poaceae
Source: Rfam